RNAcentral lists this long non-coding RNA (2564 nucleotides) under Rattus norvegicus (Norway rat). RNAcentral describes it as "long non-coding RNA NONRATT009907". The record is from RNAcentral. Lineage: Eukaryota; Metazoa; Chordata; Mammalia; Rodentia; Muridae.
GGUCUGGAUCCCUGAAUUUAUAUCAUUCAAGACUUCCAUAUGGUCAGUAGUUGAUACUCUAACCCCCCCCUCCUUACCACGGGUCAGACCUAAAGAAUGUGAACAUUUUUUCCGGGGAUGCUAAGCAAACCCUCCUUACAGAUACAUUUAAUGUAAUGAGAACAAGGGAACAUGUAAACUAACGACCAAUUUGUCGGUUUCUCCAUGUAUUCCUCAAAAGAAUGUCAAAGUAAAUGUAUUAGAAAUACAGUGUAUCCAGCCUGCUAGUCCUUGCCAGAGACCUUCGUACUUCUGCCUCAUUUUGUGUUUGACGACAGAAAGAAUGCGGUCCCUUUUACCAGCUAUCAAGACGUCGAGAUGUCAAGCUGAUCCCACCCUCUCACCAUUACCCUUCCCACGGUUUGCUCGUUGGCCUGUCUUACCAACUCAGCUAAAUCAAGCCCUUUGUCUGCUGUGGCACCUGAAGCUCAUGUGGAGGCUUUGCCAUCCCUGGGAGCUGAGCAGGAGCUGUUGGCGUAGGGGCGUGGAGGAGAAGAGAAGAGAGGAAUCAUUCAUCCCAGCCACAACUCAGGAUCCAACACCACCCGAACUGGGGGGAACAUCACCCUACCUGAUUGUUCUUGAAUGACCGGUGAAUGAGAGACCUUGGGGGCCUUGGAGGCCUGUACUUGCAGGCAGCUUGCUUCAAUGGCGCUGUGUUCACAUUUGCAGGGACUGCAUUCAGGAGGUCCUGCUCGGCCCUGUGAACCAUCUGAGGGGGACUGUGGGUGAAAACUGCAAAGAAAUGUUAUCUUGGCUCUUGGGUUCCUUUCCUUCCUAUUUUAGCACUGGGGGGAAAUCUGUUCAGGCUAUUAAAGUACGCCAAUUAGGCUCUUGCCUUUCUCUAUUGUUUGCAACUAUGACAUGAAUCGAGGAGUGGAUUGUCUCUUGGGAAAGCAGGGUCUCCCUUGUCAGUUUCCGUUGCAUGUAUGCCAACACCAUCCUGUCUUGAAAUGGUUCUUCUGCAGAGCACUGAAGAGUCCAGUUUGUGUGCUCCAACCCAGUGAAGUGGGGGUGGGGGGGUUGCAAGGAAGGACAGUUAGCUUUGCUUUCGCUUCAAACCAGAGUAUUUAGGAGCUCCAUGAUGUAUUUAAAUUUUGUUCAGAAGUCUUUAUUACAUUACUCUUUAGCUUGCUUAGAUCAUGUUAACAGAAAGAUCCAUUUUAACUCUGAAGUAACCCAGAGAAGCCAUUCUCUAUUCCCACGCUAGUCUGAUAUACUUUUAGUUAAUUGGCCCUUACCAAAUUUCUUUUCUAUAUAUAUAAAAUGUAUGUAUGUAUGUAUGUAUGUAUGUAUUUGUAUUUUACUAUGAUAGUUGAGAAAUUUAGUCUCUUUUUAGUGUUUGUUUGUUUGUUUGUUUGGUUGGUUGGUUGGUUGGCUUUUUUUUUUUUUAAUCUGUUUUUGUGGAAGACGUAAGAUGCCCUGGAUCUUCCAUUUUUGAUGGUGUGCUACGUCACUGUCAGUGUAGCUCAGCUGCACUGAAUUGAUGAGAACCAGCUGUAAACAUGAAACCAGCACUGUGUAAAUCGUUACAGAGUUCAUUCAAGUACUGCUCAAGUGUCAUCUUGGGGAAGUUCCAAAAUAAUCAGAAUCUUAUGUUUUCGAGUUUGAUGGUGGGAGGGUGCAUCAUUCAAUGGGCAUUUUGCGCUCUAAAGUCACUUGGUUUGGAGACUGUGUGUAGAAAAGCUUUGUUCAACUAAGAAGAUACUAGAUAUGCAGACGUUGCAAGAGCCUUGGAACAAUUAGAGGGGAGAGAUAUGUGUAUAUGUAUGUUUUAUUAAACACCCACCUGCACUACCAGUACUGCACUAAUGUGGAGUUCAAGAGACUGUUGCUGAUACUGCAGUCUGCACACCAUUCCUUAGAUUGUUACAAAGACAAUCUCAGAUCAGAGGUUUUUAAGUCAUUUGGUUUGAAACUAGAAUUGUCUUGAAGGAGUUGCUAAUGUACAUGAAGUCACUUGAGUUUCCUUUAUUCUCUUCCUGGUCAAGGUUAACAGUUUCUAAAUGAUUGCAAAUUCACUUAAGUAAUACAUUUACAAAGCCAUUUUACAUGCAUUAAAAGAGGGCUACAAUGUGUUUUACAAAUACUAGCACUUUUUUUUUCCUGUUAUGUACCUAGUGUUAGAGGGUCAGAAUAACCUUUCUGCUUGGCAUCUCUUAAACCCUACCUGCAAGCAUAGCAGGCUUACUGCAUUUACAGUACUUUAAUACUUGUAUAAACUAUGCAGAAAUUUUUAAUAAAGUGUAAUAUAUUUUAUAAGCUAAUAAGACUGAAUGGGUAAAGGUUUUUAGCAUGCUUAGUAUACUUGCAAAUACUGAAACAUUUUGGUAAUCUUUCUUACUAAAGAUGUGAAUGUUUAAUGUACCUUCUCUGUUUCUACCCUGUAGUCCAAUGGGAAUUCAGUAAUGACAUUUUGUCAUGUCAAACUGUGAACAUAAAUUUGUACUGUACAGUCCUCAUAUACUAUAUACAUUAUGCAAUAUAUGUAUUAUAUACUUGUUAAUAAAACCAUCUGAAUAUUA